AGCGAACGCUGGCGGCAGGCUUAACACAUGCAAGUCGAACGGGUAUCUUCAGAUACUAGUGGCAGACGGGUGAGUAACACGUGGGAACGUACCUUUCGGUUCGGAAUAAUACAGGGAAACUUGUACUAAUACCGGAUAAGCCCUUGGGGAAAGAUUUAUCGCCGAUAGAUCGGCCCGCGUCUGAUUAGCUAGUUGGAGAG
This 200-nucleotide ribosomal RNA is filed under the name uncultured bacterium. Its description in RNAcentral is "partial 16S ribosomal RNA". It matches the Rfam family "Bacterial small subunit ribosomal RNA", at positions 29 to 256 of the family's 1533-position model. The record is from RNAcentral.